RNAcentral lists this ribosomal RNA (464 nucleotides) under Vreelandella stevensii. RNAcentral's name for it is "partial 16S ribosomal RNA". It matches the Rfam family "Bacterial small subunit ribosomal RNA", at positions 338 to 795 of the family's 1533-position model. Lineage: Bacteria; Pseudomonadati; Pseudomonadota; Gammaproteobacteria; Oceanospirillales; Halomonadaceae. The record is from RNAcentral.
CCUACGGGCGGCUGCAGUGGGGAAUAUUGGACAAUGGGGGAACCCUGAUCCAGCCAUGCCGCGUGUGUGAAGAAGGCCCUCGGGUUGUAAAGCACUUUCAGUGAGGAAGAACGCCUGGUGGUUAAUACCCAUCAGGAAAGACAUCACUCACAGAAGAAGCACCGGCUAACUCCGUGCCAGCAGCCGCGGUAAUACGGAGGGUGCGAGCGUUAAUCGGAAUUACUGGGCGUAAAGCGCGCGUAGGUGGCUUGAUAAGCCGGUUGUGAAAGCCCCGGGCUCAACCUGGGAACGGCAUCCGGAACUGUCAAGCUAGAGUGCAGGAGAGGAAGGUAGAAUUCCCGGUGUAGCGGUGAAAUGCGUAGAGAUCGGGAGGAAUACCAGUGGCGAAGGCGGCCUUCUGGACUGACACUGACACUGAGGUGCGAAAGCGUGGGUAGCAAACAGGAUUAGAUACCCUAGUAGUC